AAUACGUUCCCGGGCCUUGUACACACCGCCCGUCACACCACGAAAGUCGGCAACACCCGAAGCCGGUGGCCCAACCCUUUUGGAGGGAGCCGUCGAAGGUGGGGUCGGCGAUUGGGGUG
Molecule: ribosomal RNA, 119 nt
Filed under: uncultured bacterium
Lineage: Bacteria
Description: partial 16S ribosomal RNA
Rfam family: Bacterial small subunit ribosomal RNA
Source: RNAcentral